GGGGGGAGUGCCAGAUCUUGGUUGUGUCCCCCGGCUCCUUGGCCUCUGGGACCUGUGCUGCUGGAAUCAUACUCCCCAGCCGCGCAGCCCCCU
RNAcentral lists this microRNA precursor (93 nucleotides) under Canis lupus familiaris (dog). RNAcentral describes it as "mir-8799 microRNA precursor family". It matches the Rfam family "mir-8799 microRNA precursor family". The record is from Rfam by way of RNAcentral. Lineage: Eukaryota; Metazoa; Chordata; Mammalia; Carnivora; Canidae. RNAcentral also lists the same sequence under 1 other name.